RNAcentral lists this ribosomal RNA (398 nucleotides) under uncultured Chrysophyceae. Its description in RNAcentral is "partial small subunit ribosomal RNA". It matches the Rfam family "Eukaryotic small subunit ribosomal RNA", at positions 30 to 432 of the family's 1831-position model. The record is from RNAcentral. Lineage: Eukaryota; Chrysophyceae.
GCUUGUCUCAAAGAUUAAGCCAUGCACGUCUAAGUAUAAGCGAUUAUACUGUGAAACUGCGAAUGGCUCAUUAUAUCAGUUAUAGUUUAUUUGAUGGUUCUUGCUACUUGGAUAACCGUAGUAAUUCUAGAGCUAAUACAUGCGUCAAACCUCGACUUCUGGGAGAGGUGUAUUUAUUAGAUGGAAACCAAUGCGGGGCAACCCGGUAUAUGGUGAUUCAUAAUAACUUUGCGAAUCGUAUGCCUCACGGCGACGAUGAAUCAUUCAAAUUUCUGCCCUAUCAGCUUUGGAUGGUAGGGUAUUGGCCUACCAUGGCUUUAACGGGUAACGGAGAAUUAGGGUUCGAUUCCGGAGAGGGAGCCUGAGAAAUGGCUACCACAUCCAAGGAAGGCAGCAGG